This 1167-nucleotide ribosomal RNA is filed under the name Staphylococcus xylosus. Its description in RNAcentral is "bacterial SSU rRNA". It matches the Rfam family "Bacterial small subunit ribosomal RNA", at positions 76 to 1225 of the family's 1533-position model. Lineage: Bacteria; Bacillati; Bacillota; Bacilli; Caryophanales; Staphylococcaceae. The record is from RNAcentral.
GAGCUUGUUCCUUUGAGGUUCCGGGCGGACGGGUGAGUAACACGUGGGUAACCUACCUAUAAGACUGGGAUAACUUCGGGAAACCGGAGCUAAUACCGGAUAACAUUUAGAACCGCAUGGUUCUAAAGUGAAAGAUGGUUUUGCUAUCACUUAUAGAUGGACCCGCGCCGUAUUAGCUAGUUGGUAAGGUAACGGCUUACCAAGGCGACGAUACGUAGCCGACCUGAGAGGGUGAUCGGCCACACUGGAACUGAGACACGGUCCAGACUCCUACGGGAGGCAGCAGUAGGGAAUCUUCCGCAAUGGGCGAAAGCCUGACGGAGCAACGCCGCGUGAGUGAUGAAGGGUUUCGGCUCGUAAAACUCUGUUAUUAGGGAAGAACAAAUGUGUAAGUAACUGUGCACAUCUUGACGGUACCUAAUCAGAAAGCCACGGCUAACUACGUGCCAGCAGCCGCGGUAAUACGUAGGUGGCAAGCGUUAUCCGGAAUUAUUGGGCGUAAAGCGCGCGUAGGCGGUUUCUUAAGUCUGAUGUGAAAGCCCACGGCUCAACCGUGGAGGGUCAUUGGAAACUGGGAAACUUGAGUGCAGAAGAGGAAAGUGGAAUUCCAUGUGUAGCGGUGAAAUGCGCAGAGAUAUGGAGGAACACCAGUGGCGAAGGCGACUUUCUGGUCUGUAACUGACGCUGAUGUGCGAAAGCGUGGGGAUCAAACAGGAUUAGAUACCCUGGUAGUCCACGCCGUAAACGAUGAGUGCUAAGUGUUAGGGGGUUUCCGCCCCUUAGUGCUGCAGCUAACGCAUUAAGCACUCCGCCUGGGGAGUACGACCGCAAGGUUGAAACUCAAAGGAAUUGACGGGGACCCGCACAAGCGGUGGAGCAUGUGGUUUAAUUCGAAGCAACGCGAAGAACCUUACCAAAUCUUGACAUCCUUUGAAAACUCUAGAGAUAGAGCCUUCCCCUUCGGGGGACAAAGUGACAGGUGGUGCAUGGUUGUCGUCAGCUCGUGUCGUGAAAUGUUUGGGUUAAGUCCCGCAACGAGCGCAACCCUUAAGCUUAGUUGCCAUCAUUAAGUUGGGCACUCUAGGUUGACUGCCGUGAAAACCGGAGGAAAAGGUGGGGGAUGACGUCAAAUCAUCAUGCCCCUUAUGAUUUGGGCUACCCCCGUGC